RNAcentral lists this ribosomal RNA (497 nucleotides) under uncultured bacterium. RNAcentral describes it as "partial 16S ribosomal RNA". It matches the Rfam family "Bacterial small subunit ribosomal RNA", at positions 28 to 507 of the family's 1533-position model. The record is from RNAcentral.
GAUGAACGCUGGCGGCGUGCCUAAUACAUGCAAGUCGAGCGAACAGACGAGGAGCUUUCUCCUCUUACGUUAGCGGCGGACGGGUGAGUAACACGUAGAUAACCUACCUAUAAGACUGGGAUAACUUCGGGAAACCGGAGCUAAUACCGGAUAAUCUAUUGAACCGCAUGGUUCAAUAGUGAAAGACGGUUUUGCUGUCACUUAUAGAUUGAUCCGCGCCGCAUUAGCUAGUUGGUAAGGUAACGGCUUACCAAGGCAACGAUGCGUAGCCGACCUGAGAGGGUGACCGGCACAACUGGAACUGAGACACGCUCCAGACUCCUAGGGGAGGCACCAGUAGGGAAUCUUCGGAAAUGGGCGAAAGCCUAACGGGGCAACGCCGCGUGAGUGAGGAAGGUCUUCGGAUCGUAAAACUCUGUUAUUAGGGAAGAACAAAUGUGUAAGUAACGAGGCACGGCUUGACGGUACCUGAACAGAAAGCCACGGCUAACUACGUG